RNAcentral lists this long non-coding RNA (7917 nucleotides) under Gossypium barbadense (sea-island cotton). Its description in RNAcentral is "long non-coding RNA (GBAR_LNC021284)". The record is from RNAcentral. Lineage: Eukaryota; Viridiplantae; Streptophyta; Magnoliopsida; Malvales; Malvaceae.
AUGAAUUGGUUGGAAUUAGCUUACCUUUGAAGGAGUUGUAUUCGAAAAUAAACAUUGGGGAAGAUGAUGUCCGCAUUAUAGGAAUUUGCGGAAUGGGUGGCAUCAGUAAAACAACUCUUGCAAGGGUUGUUUACACUCAAAUGUCACCUCAUUUUGAAGGCAAAAGCUUUCUUGCUGAUAUUCGAGAAGUUUCAAACAAAUGUGGACUUGUUUCUUUACAGAAACAACUUCUUUCUCAAAUCUUGCCAAAUGGAUGCUUCAAUUUUUUCAAUGUUCAUGAAGGGAAUGUCAUAAUUAGCCGCAGGUUAUCUAGUGAAAAGGUUCUUGUUGUUCUUGAUGAUGUUGAUAAUGUACAACACUUGAAAUGCUUGGUUGGAAGGCGUGAUUGGUUUGGUUUAGGGAGUCGAAUCAUUGUAACAGAAAGAGAUGAACAUAUACUCCGAUCUUGCGGAGUCGAUGGUUUGUAUAAGCCUAAAACAUUGAAUCCAGACGAUGCACUUAGACUUUUCAAUUUGAAAGCUUUUCAUAGUGAUACAGUGCCAAAAGAUGAUUUCAUUGAGCUUUCUGAAGAGGUUGUAUGUUAUGCUAGUGGUCUCCCCUUAGCUCUUGAAGUUUUGGGUUCAUUUUCGUGCGAUAGAGAUAUAGUUCAAUGGAGAAGUGCAAUCGAAAGACUUAAAGAAGAUUCUAACAAAGAAAUUCUUAACACGCUAAGAAUUAGCUUUGAUGGAUUGGAAGAAAAGGAAAAGAAUAUAUUUCUAGAUAUAGCAUGCUUUUUCAAUGGUGAGAACAGAGAUUUGGCAAUGAAAGUAUUGGAUGGUUGUGAGUUUUUUCCAGAUAUUGGAAUCGAUAUUUUCAUUAAGAAAUCUCUCAUAAAAGUUAGUGAUGACAACCAAACUUUGCAGAUGCAUGCCUUGUUGCAGGAAAUGGGAAGAAAAAUUAUUGAAGAAAAAUGUGUUAAUGAACCUGGAAAACGUUACAGAUUGUGGAAGGAAAAGGAUGUCCAUCAUGUUCUAACAAAAAAAACGGUAAUCCAUUCAACAAAAUUUACAUACAAAAUUUUAUUUUAUCAAUAUAUGGUGUAAAUCCAAAGCUUAGUCUAAUUGGUUUAUAUAUCGACCUUAAGUGACAUCGAGUAACUUUAAGAUAAUUUUCAUUUGUUGAUUAUAAAUAUUAAUAAUGAUUUGUAAUAUAAAUAUUUAAUUUUAUUGAAUUACUCUCAUUAGAAUAUAUUUUAUUUACUAUAUUUUGACCAAAAGAUUGCGAUAAUGUUGAACAUGUAUGUAAAAUUUUAAAAUUUUUAUCGUAUAAUUUUAGAGCAUUAAUUUUAUCUUCUUAUUAUCGAUUCUUGAUUACUUUCAGGCUACUGAAGUGAUAGAAGGCAUGAUCAUCGACAAUAAAAGGUAGGAAAAGAAACAUAUAAAUUUAUCAAUAUGUACUCCUAGUAUUGUUAUUAUUUUUUUUUUUUGUAAAAAGUCCAAUAAAAAACAACAACAAAAAGACCUUUUGACUUUGCUUGUCAGAGUUGACAGAAAAUUGAAAGAUAAUACAUGUCCCUUCUCACUAAUAUAAAAUGAUCAUUUCUCCCUUUUUUUUCAUCUCACUUUUCUUCUUUACCAAACACAAUUCAUCCUCAUAUCCCUUAACUUUUCCACUCAACCAAGUACACCCUUAAAGCUUAAUUUCUUUUAUGUUCUAUUUAUAAAAUUUAUAUAGGAACACAUUACUUUUUCAAAAGAAAUUAUAAAGAGGUGUGUCAUUGUCUUUGCUAAUGUUAAUGGUUUAUAUUUGAUGUAAUGAAAAUCUAUAUCAAUGAACUAGGUUAUAACAUGUCAUUAUAAGUUUUUAAAAAUAAAUUCAGGUCAUGCCACCAUUUGGUUCACUGGUAAUGUAUAGAACUAUACAUCAGUGCACCAAACAUAAAUCAAAAUAUUAGUUCUAGUUUUUUUAGGCUUAGGUAAUUAAAAGUCGAAUAUAAAUGUUAGAUAAAGUAUUGUCUAAUAUGUUAAUCAUAUCUCAAUACCAUAUUCAGAUAUGCAAUAGAUAUAGAUAUGGAUACUUAAAAAAGCAAUAUCGAUCCAGCAUGGCUUUUAGAUAUUGAAUGUUUUUGUAUAUUCUGAAGCUUAUUUUUGUUUUGCUCAUGGUUAUUAGGGAAUCAAGCAAGAUGCUCAAUUUGAGUACCGAUACCUUUUCGAAGAUGAAAAAAUUGAGAUUGCUCAAAGUGCUUUGUGUCUCAAAUUGUGAUGAUAUCAAAUAUCUUUCUAAUGAACUACGGCUUUUAGAUUGGACAAGAUAUCCUUUAAGAUACUUGCCUUCAAGUUUUUAACCGGACAACCUUGUCGCACUUCUUUUACCAUUUAGUCACAUUGAACAACUAUGGAAGGGAAACAGAGUAAGAAUUAAACUCAUUGUUUUAUCUUAUUUUAAUAUAAAUGAUUAAACUUUGGUUAAGGUAAAGAAUACAAAAAUUAGCAUUAUUAUGUUUUCUGUCUAAUUAUUUAUGGUUUUCAACAGCCCUUGUAUAAGUUGAAAAUAAUGAACCUCAAAGGGUCCCAAAACCUGAUCAAGAUACCAGACUUCACAACAGCAUCAAAUCUUGAAGUUUUGAUUUUGGAAGGUUGUACCAAAUUAGUGGAUGUUCAUCCAUCAAUCGGAAUGCUUAAGAGCCUUAAACUUUUGAAUUUAAGAGAUUGCAAAAGUCUUAGGAAUCUUCCGACCAAAUUUGGAUUGGAAUCUCUUGAAACAUUAAUUCUUUCGGGUUGCUCAAGUCUUGUAAGGUUUCCGGAGAUUGAUAGAAAAAUGGAACGUCUAAAAACUCUAUAUCUUUUUGGUUGUUAUAGAGUAGAAAAUUUGUCGGAGAAUUUGCAGCAAGCAAAGUUACGACCAAAUUUGUCUUCUCUUUUCAAGGUAAUCGUAGGAAGAAGGAAGAAUCCCAUGCCUCAGAUGUUGCCUUCGCUGUUAGGUUUGAGUUCAUUAAGAGUGCUAGAACUAAGGGACUGCAAUCUUUGUGAAGGAGAUAUUCCACGUGAUAUUUCUGGUCUAUCCUCUUUGAGGUCUCUUGAUCUUAGUGGUAACAAUUUCAUCAUCAUACCUGCAUCUCUUACUCGACUACUAUCCAUGCUUGGGUUUCUUGCAUUGGAAUAUUGCAAGAUGCUUAAAUCGUUUCCUGAGAUGCCGACAACUAUAGGACUAGUGUCUCUAAAUGGUUGUUCUUCACUUGAAGUAUGCAAUUUAGUGGAUACGGCUGCCUUUCGUGAAGUAGGCUAUUUCUGUUCAGAUGCCUUUAAAGCCAUUAACUGCUUCAAAUUGGCCGAGAAUAUGAAUUCAUUAACAGUGCUGAAAAAACAGCUUAAGGUCGAUUAAUCUCCAUUUUCUCCCUUACAAAAUCUCAUACUUGAGAAUUUGUGGUUUUAGUUACCAAACGACUUGUGUUUCAUUUUGCAGGCAUUUGCAAAUUCAAGAGAAAUGUUUGAUAUUAUUAUGCCCGGAAGUGAAAUCCCAGAAUUGUUUAGCCAACAAACAAGUGACUCUCCAAUUAACAUUCCCCUGCCUAUCCUCCUUCAGAAAGAUAGUCAAUGGAUUGGAGUUGCUUGCUGCUGCAUUUUUGUCAAUAAUGAUGCUUCAAGGGAUGACAAACAGGAUAUCCUUUGUAGAGCAAAUAUCUAUUGUAGAAAUUCUGGACAAGACAGCUGUAAUGGAUAUAUUUUUCGAGGUAGAAAUGGUGGAUGGGACUGGUGGGGCUGGGGGCUGCCUGAACCAAUAAUGAAAGAUCACCUUUUUCUUCGUUAUUGGUCGCGUUAUAAAUUAUAUCCUUCCUUGGAGGAUAAAUGUCGCCAUUGUGAAAUCACUAAUUUAUGUAGAAUACAUUGCUUAGAUAAAAAAUGCGAUGAGCUUAAGGUGUCUUUCAUGGGCUUUGGUGUUAAGGUGAAGAAGUGUGGUUUUAGAAUAGUGUAUGAGAAAGAUUUGGAAGAGAUAAAAGAGUUGCAGUGCCAUACCACUCAAUCUUCUCCAAAUUUUGAACACAUCCACCAACACUCUUCUCACAAACUUGGAUUAGUAGGUAGCACUUCUCACAUAAAAUAGAAACCUAAUAUCUACGAUGAAGCGGAGGAAGAAGGGCCGCAACCAAAACGGAUGCAACUUUUUUUCAAUUUUUUAUAAUUGGACAAUCCAGGAAGACGCAUUAGAUAUGGUAAAUUACUUAACCAACCUUGUCCUACUAAAUUUUUUUACUCAUCUACCUUGUUUACAUCUUUUAUUUUAUUUAAAGUAAUCAUUCUAGACUUAUUUGCAUAUGAGAGCUAUGAUCAUUUUAUUAUAUUCUAAUUUUUUUUUAAAAAUACCAUUUAAAAUUUUAUUCAUUUAAUUCAUUCCUUUUUUCAUAAUUGAAAUGUGUACAUUUUGAUAUUUAUUAAAAUUUUAUUCUCAUUAUAUAUAUUCACUUACAUCUAUAUUUUAUUUUUAGGUUGAAGUAAAUAUAAUCAAUUGAGAUAGAAAUGUGGAGAAAAAUAGAUAGCUUCGACGACGAUACAAGUAAUAAUAAGGUGAAAAUUCUUUAAUGAGGGUUAGAUCAUAAUUUCGGCUGAGUUAAAAACCAUUUUAUUUUUAUUUGAGACCAACUUAUGUGUUCAAUUUAAUCAAUCAAAAUUGUUUUUUUAUAUAUUUAGAAGAUUAAAUAUAAGUCCUUAAUAGUACUUAAAUAGAUUUAAUUCCUUCUAACAGAGGUACCAUUUAAAUUUCAUGGCUUGAAGUAUAAAUAAUAUUAUUCUAGCUCUUCAAUUUAUAUUUUUUACAAAGUAUUUAAGUUUAGACAUUUAUUUUGAAUACUUGUUCAAAUAUAAAAAUAAAGUACACACUUUUAAUUAUUUGGAAAAUCUUUUCCAUGUCAGAGACAUUUUCAUAUCCAAUAUUUUUUUUCAAAAUUCUAUAAUUUCAUUUUUGUUAUUGUCUAAUGUACUUACUGUUUAGAGAAAUAAAAAUAUGAUUUUGGGUCGAUACGAGUAAGAUUUUCAAUGAUUGUAUUUAUGUGAUAUCAACAAAAAUUUCUCAAUUUGAGGUAAGUUAAUAUAGAUGAUCUCAGUGCAACAAAAAUAAUGAUGGUGUUUUAUGUUUGUCCCCUAGACCAAGAGAAGCAUGAAAAUCUGCUCAAAGAAUCAUGCAAGUGAGGGACCAACAAAAGUCAUCAAGUUGGAAUGGAAGCGGACACUUUAGCAAUUAUAGGCUCGGACGAAUUUAGGGAAUUACCAAAAUAUAAGUAGUUGUUUUUAUCAUGUAAUGUAAUGUAAAUUAUACAUAUUGAAAUGAACGUUGAUUUUAAAAUGUAAUUUCAAAUAGUAAUUUAAUUGUAAUGUAAAUAAAACCUUUAAAAUUAGGCAUAAUGAUAAAAAAAGGUUCUUAGUGUUUAUAAAAUUUGACAAGUUGACCCGUUUUCAUUUCCUUUUAGUAAUUUGGUUCUUAACAUUUUAUUGAGUCAAAUUAUGAAUUUUUAAUGCAAAAUGCUGAUUGAACUAUUAAUUUAACAGUGUUGACAUAACAUUAUAGUCAAUUCAUUUCAUUCAUCAUUAAAAUUUUCAAGUGUAUCUCAAUUGGACCAUCUUUUCCUCCAACUCAAAGACGUGAUAAAGUGAAGAAAAUUGCAUUUGAUUACUGCACAAUUUUCUUCUGACUUCUUUCAUAAUUGAUGCACAACUAUGAUUGUUUUAAAUGAAUGAACUAUUCAAAUUAAAAACCAAUAGAAUGAAAUUAUCAAAUGUUUGCCUUUAUUUUGAAUCAAACGCUUAUUGUGUUGGUUCCCAAGGUGGCAAGACCGGAAUGACUAUCUCAUUUUAGACCGAUCAAUCUUUGUACGGUCUUGUUUUAGGUGAUCACUUAAACAAUUGCAACAAAAAUGAGAAGCUGGUUCGAGGAUUCAUUUGGGGUCAACAUUUGGCAAUCGGAAACCAACUUUAGUGAGCUGGUAUAAAUUUUGUAUGCCUUUGAAGAAUGGUGGAGUUAGGUUGAGGAAAGAACGAGACCACAGUAAAGCUUGCAUGAUUAAGGGUUAUUGUAAGAUGUCGCUAUUGUAAGAAGUUAGGUCACAUCAAAGGAGAUUGUUAUAAACUGCGAAUUAAAAGGGUUAUUGAGAGCAAUGAGGAAGGUGUGGCUCGUGCUAAUUUGGUCGACAAAAGCGGUGAUGAUUUUUUAUUAGUGUUAACAAGCGAUAGUCUUGAGCUUAUGUCCGAGUGGAUCCUAGAUUCGGAAUGUUUUUUUCACAUGUGUCCCAACAGAGAAUGGUUCUCCACAUACAGUUCGGUUGAAGGUGGAGCUGAGCAUACGGGAACGAUUCAUCUGGUAAGGUAAUUGGUAUUGGUACUAUUAAAAUUAGGAUGCACGAUGGGACGAUUAGGACACUCUCAGAUGUCAGGUAUGUACUUGAUUUACGAAAGAAUCCCAUCUCCUUAAGUAAUUUAGACUAAAAAAGUUGCAGAAUCAAUAUCGAGUCUAGCGACAUUAAGGUGUCUCGUGGGACUCUCGUUUUGUUAAAAGGUAAAAGAACCGACAGUCUUUAUUUUCUUUUUGAAGGUUCUACAUUGAUUAGUGAAAUCAGACAUCCCUCGUCUAUUAUGGAGUCAAAGUUAACUCGUUUGGAGCGGAGGUUCUCUUUUAGAUGUCGGUUUUGAAAAGUUAGAGCACUGUGUUUGUGAAAAUCAGACCCGGGUUAGUUUUGAUUUGGUAGUGCACAAGUUGAAAUCUAGAAGCAUUCCAGCUUCUAAACACAAAUUCAACUCAAUUAAUUCCCUGCAUAGUUCAAGAUAGGCUCCUGGUAGGCUUUAGUAUUAGAGUAUUGAAGGUUGUUAGUUAGUUAUGUAUCCGGUGAAGGUUGUUGCUCAAUAUGGAGCAGUUACUCAUGUCUAUAAAUACUGAACAUGUGUAUUCAGAUAGAAAGGUUUUUGAAUAAACAAACAAAAGAAACAAAAGAAGUUUUUCCAUUUAUAUUUUGCUAUCUGUUUGGCUAGAUAUUUCUUUCUAUUUUAUAUGACGGUACCUAUAUUCAAUGGCGCAAACAGGUAAAACUGAUAGUUGAUGGCUAUGGACUUACAGGAUUCUUAGAUGGCACUAUUGCUCCACCAUCACGUUUCAAUCUUCUACCCGAUGGCUCGCGUGCUCCAAAUCCGGCGGCUCAGGUGUUCAUGCAGCAAGAUCGACUUCUAACGUCCUGGCUUUUGUCGACUGUAAGCUCUUCUCAUCAAUCCUCCUUUGAUGAUGCUUGCACGGCUUGUGACGUAUGGAGUAUGGCCAUUAAUCUGUUUGCGGCUGAUACUGGCGCCAAGCAAUCGAGACUUCGGCAUGAGCUUCAUUCUUUGAAGAAAGGUAACCUUUCUAUUAAAGCUUAUGUUGCUAAGAUUAAAGAUCUCUGUGCUAUGUUAGAUGUGUCUGGUUCGCGUAUCUCUGAUGAAGAGAAGGUUGAAGUGGUGCUUGCGGGAUUGCCGUCGGAAUAUGAGGCGGUCAUCUCGUCGGUUCGUUUGUCGACUGGUGUACUGCCGUUAAAGCGUGUGGUUGAUGCGUUGGUUGAUUGUGAGAAUCGUCAAGUUUAGGUGUUGCAGGAGGUCAAUUUGAAUGCAAAUCUUGUUGAGACAUAUCCAAUUGUUCAUGAUGAAUUGGUUGGAAUUAGCUUGCCUUUGAAGGAGUUGUAUUCUGAAAUAAACAUUGGGGAAGAUGAUGUCCGCAUUAUAGGAAUUUUCGGAAUGGGUGGCAUCGGUAAAACAACUCUUGCGAGGGUUGUUUACACUCAAAUGUCACCUCAUUUUGAAGGCAAAAGCUUUCUUGCUGAUAUUCGAGAAGUUUCAAACAAAUGUGGACUUGUUUCUUUACAGAAACAACUUCUUUCUCAAAUCUUGCCAAAUGGAUGCUUCAAUUUUUUCAAUGUUCAUGAAGGGAAUG